GAUGGUUGCCCCGAAGAGUAAAUUGGAAUCCGGUGAAAGUCCGGAACAGUACCUGCUGCUGUAAGUCUCCAAGAAGAAAAGACGUUUGCCGUAAUCGACAUCGCCACUGGUUGACCUCAAAGACUGGGAAGGUAUCGGCAAAACAGAGACAAGUCAGAAAACCAGCCAUUGAAAC
This 175-nucleotide non-coding RNA is filed under the name bovine gut metagenome. The record is from RNAcentral.